RNAcentral lists this ribosomal RNA (1462 nucleotides) under Thalassiosira rotula. Its description in RNAcentral is "partial Bacterial large subunit ribosomal RNA". It matches the Rfam family "Bacterial large subunit ribosomal RNA", at positions 214 to 1721 of the family's 2925-position model. Lineage: Eukaryota; Bacillariophyta; Thalassiosirophyceae; Thalassiosirales; Thalassiosiraceae. The record is from RNAcentral.
AGGAAAAGAAAUCAACCGAGAUUCCCAAAGUAGUGGCGAGCGAAAUGGGAUGAGCCUGUACGUGAUAGUCGAUUGGAUAGUGGAAGCUUCUGGAAAUAAGCGCCAUAGCGGGUGAUAGCCCCGUACACGAAAAACUGCAUGAGAUGAAAUCGAGUAAGGCGAGGCACGUGAAACCUUGUCUGAAUAUGGGGGGACCAUCCUCCAAGGCUAAAUACUCCUAACUGACCGAUAGUGAACCAGUACCGUGAGGGAAAGGUGAAAAGAACGCCGAGAAGGCGAGUGAAAUAGUACCUGAAACCGUGUGCUUACAAGCGGUCGGAGCAGCAUUUAUGUUGUGACGGCGUGCCUUUUGUAUAAUGAGCCUACGAGUUGCUCCUGUUGUGCGAGGUUAAGCCCCUUAGGGGUGGAGCCGUAGCGAAAGCGAGUCUGAAUAGGGCGUGCAGUACAGCGGGGCAGACGCGAAACCAAGUGAUCUAUCCAUGGUCAGGGUGAAGCGGUGGUAAGACACCGUGGAGGCCCGAACCGGUUGACGUUGAAAAGUCUUCGGAUGAGCUGUGGGUAGGGGUGAAAGGCUAAUCAAACUGGGAAAUAGCUCGUUCUCCCCGAAAUGCAUUUAGGUGCAGCCUUGGAGUUGAGUUUACUAGAGGUAGAGCGACUGGUUGGAUGCGGGGGCUUCAUCGCCUACCAAAUCCUGUCAAACUCCGAAUGCUAGUAAAUAUAUCCAGGAGUGAGGGCAUGGGUGCUAAGGUCCAUGUCCGAGAGGGAAAGAACCCAGACCAUCUGCUAAGGUCCCCAAAUGUAUGCUAAGUUGAUCAAACGUGGUCUGAUUGCUUUGACAGCUAGGAUGUUGGCUUGGAAGCAGCCAUUCAUUUAAAGAGUGCGUAACAGCUCACUAGUCGAGCGAUCGGGCGUGGAUAAUAAUCGGGCAUUAAGCAUACUACCGAAGCAAUGGCAUCGAAAGAUGGGUAGGGGAGCAUUCUAAGGGCGUAGAAGGUGUACUGUGAGGUAUGCUGGAGCGCUUAGAAAAGAAAAUGUAGGCAUAAGUAACGAUAAAGCAGGCGAGAAACCUGCUCACCGAUAGACUAAGGUUUCCUGAACAACGCUAAUCGGUUCAGGGUUAGUCGGGGCCUAAGGCGAACCCGAAUGGGGUAGUCGAUGGACAAUUGGUUAAUAUUCCAAUACUUGUAUUUAUUGCGAUGGGGUGACGGAGUAGUGAAAGUCCUGCGUACUGACGGAAUAGUACGUUGAAACUUGUAGGUAUAAGAUUUGUAGGUAAAUCCGCUUAUCUUGCCGAAAGUGAUAGUACUCUAAGUCUUCGGACGAGGAGAUAUGGACCUAAUCAGACUUCCAAGAAAAACCUCUAAGCUUCAGAUAAAUACAACCCGUACCGCAAUCCGACACAGGUAGUCAAGGAGAGAAUCCUAAGGUGCUCGAGUGAUUCAUGGCUAAGGAACUAGGCAAA